RNAcentral lists this ribosomal RNA (253 nucleotides) under uncultured bacterium. Its description in RNAcentral is "partial 16S ribosomal RNA". It matches the Rfam family "Bacterial small subunit ribosomal RNA", at positions 524 to 776 of the family's 1533-position model. The record is from RNAcentral.
UACAGAGGUCUCAAGCGUUGUUCGGAUUCAUUGGGCGUAAAGGGUGUGUAGGUGGCGCCGUAAGUCGGGUGUGAAAUUUCGGAGCUUAACUCCGAAACUGCAUUCGAUACUGCGGUGCUUGAGGACUGGAGAGGAGACUGGAAUUCAUGGUGUAGCAGUGAAAUGCGUAGAGAUCAUGAGGAAGACCAGUGGCGAAGGCGGGUCUCUGGACAGUUCCUGACACUGAGACACGAAAGCCAGGGGAGCAAACAGG